AUAAACAUCAUGAUUCUGAUUAGUUUCUAUGAGGGGCCCCCUUUUCAGGCUCUUGGAAUCGUCCUAAUCCCCCCCACCGCACCCCCACGGACCUAGGAGGACCAAUGAUUCAUACUGAUGUACGCCAUAACACGGUGUAGGAAACGUGUGAUCUUUCCAUGCAGGAUAACUUAGUGUUUUUCCUUGAAUUAUGGCACACGACCUCGCUGAUUUAGGCGCUGAGACGAACGUCGACAGAGAUGUCACCAUGAGUGACAUCCUCAAUGCCUUACCGUUUUCACGGAGACUGGGGAUUUAGGGCAGGCUAUCUAUUAUAUAUUCGCCUACACUGAGUCAGUCAAAGGCUAUAGCUCAAAGACAUCAACAGGCAACGAAGGGUGAUCCGCAAUCUCAUCGUUGGCCGCAGACCGUGGUGGUGAAUGAGCUACGGCUAAAAGUUUGUAUGAUAUGAUCUAGCCUACUGAGAAAAUCAGCAAGAUGGUGUAUAAAGGUGCGGAUUUUUUUUUCAACUUUUGUGUUAUUUUCUCAGCAGAUUCGGUGUUUGAAUCAACUGACUUUUAGUAUUGUUGCUACAUAAGACACAGUGAGUCUUUUCUCGCAGCCGAAAAUCGUGUAGUCAGUCCCGUUUCCAUUGGGCAAUGUUAUGAACCGACUCGCACUCCGGCAGGCAGCGCAACCUCCUCCAAGGACAAAUGCUCAAUUUUAACGAAGGAGGUAAAUUAUGAAUGGCUUCGCCCCCUGAUUUGGAUCAAUUCCAAAAUGUAACGGGUUCUUCCUUGGUUUAUGCCAAACCCUACGUUUAAUGAAAAUCGACCGAGUCGUUUCCUUGUAGUAAUCCUGCUGACAAACAGACAAACAAAUGGCAACGUAAACAUAACCUCUCUGGCGGAGAUAACGUUCGACACAGCUGGAUAGCUAGCAAUGCAUCAGUACUGACCUUGUGCCUAAAACGUCCUCUGCCAAAAUCCUCCUACUGGACGUAAUACCAUACAUUAGUGAAUUACAAGACGUCUCAUCACCCUUUUAGUCUACCCACCUAUACCACCCCCCCCCACACACACACACACAUACACACACACAUCCCUAUAAAAACACACACAGAAAAUCAAACAAUGGACUUUAAAACAGAUGUGAAUUUAAGAGGUUGGCCUACAUACCUUGGCCCCACAUACUUAAAUAAAAGGUAGCACUUCAAAUGACAGGGAAAGUUGCCUACCUGUGAGGUAGCCUCGGGUGAGGAAAGAGUAUGACUGUAGAAGUAAGAUGCAAUUCACAAUUCACAAACAUUUUACAAAUAAGGAAAGUAUAACUACGAUCUUGAAGGCAUUGUACUUAUACUUUUGGUUACUUGACACAAAGUCAUAGUAGGUUACUUCAAAUUAAAUAGCCUACAAAAGUCAUCCUGGUAAUCCUGUUUUCCCUUUUCUUUUCUUUUUUAAACUGAUUUUUGGUCGAUGAUAUCGUAUAGUAGGGGUGGGAAUCUCUUGGCACCUCACGAUUCGAUUCGAUUCCGAUUCAGAGGUCAACGAUUCGAUUCUAAACCGAUUCUCGAUUCUAAGCCGAUUCUCGAUUCUAAACCGAUUAUCAAUUCUAAACCGAUAAAACGAUUAUCGAUGCAUCUCAAUUUUUAAAACAUUUGAGUUUGCUAUUUAGAGUCUCAAAUCACUUCCUACUUUGUGUUUGAUAAAUCAACAGAUCUAUUUUUUUAUUAGAGAAAAAGUUUUUCCUUGUCACAAUUAUGACUUUCUAUGAACAAUGCAAUAAUCGAUGCAGCUUGCA
Long non-coding RNA from Clupea harengus (Atlantic herring), 1779 nucleotides. Lineage: Eukaryota; Metazoa; Chordata; Actinopteri; Clupeiformes; Clupeidae. The record is from Ensembl.